This 497-nucleotide ribosomal RNA is filed under the name uncultured bacterium. RNAcentral's name for it is "partial 16S ribosomal RNA". It matches the Rfam family "Bacterial small subunit ribosomal RNA", at positions 28 to 507 of the family's 1533-position model. The record is from RNAcentral.
GAUGAACGCUGGCGGCGUGCCUAAUACAUGCAAGUCGAGCGAACAGACGAGGAGCUUGCUCCUCUGACGUUAGCGGCGGACGGGUGAGUAACACGUGGAUAACCUACCUAUAAGACUGGGAUAACUUCGGGAAACCGGAGCUAAUACCGGAUAACAUGUUGAACCGCAUGGUUUAACAGUGAAAGACGGUCUUGCUGUCACUUAUAGAUGGAUCCGCGCCGCAUUAGCUAGUUGGUAAGGUAACGGCUUACCAAGGCAACGAUGCGUAGCCGACCUGACAGGGUGAUCGGCCACACUGGAACUGAGACACGGUCCAGACUCCUACGGGAGGCAGCAGUAGGGAAUCUUCCGCAAUGGGCGAAAGCCUGACGGAGCAACGCCGCGUGAGUGAAGAAGGUCUUCGGAUCGUAAAACUCUGUUAUUAGGGAAGAACAAAUGUGUAAGUAACUAUGCACGUCUUGACGGUACCUAAUCAGAAAGCCACGGCUAACUACGUG